CCUACGGGAGGCAGCAGUGGGGAAUAUUGCACAAUGGGGGCAACCCUGAUCCAGCGACGCAGCGUGAGUGAAGAAGUAUUUCGGUAUGUAAAGCUCUUUUUGUAGGGAAGUAAAAAGACGGUACCUGUCCUAGAAGCCCCGGCUAACUACGUGCCAGCAGCCGCGGUAAUACGGAGGGGCCAAGCGUUUUCCGGAAUUACUGGGUGUAAAGGGUGCGUAGGUGGUAUGGUAAGUCAGAAGUGAAAGCUCGGGGCUUAACCCCGAGACUGCAUUUGAAACUGGCAUGCUGGAGUGCAGGAGAGGUAAGCGGAAUUCCUGGUGUAGCGGUGAAAUGCGUAGAUAUUAGGAGGAACACCAGUGGCGAAGGCGGCUUACUGGACUGUCACUGACACUGAUGCACGAAAGCGUGGGGAGCAAACAGGAUUAGAUACCCCGGUAGUC
This 441-nucleotide ribosomal RNA is filed under the name uncultured bacterium. RNAcentral's name for it is "partial 16S ribosomal RNA". It matches the Rfam family "Bacterial small subunit ribosomal RNA", at positions 338 to 795 of the family's 1533-position model. The record is from RNAcentral.